GGAGAGGUGGCCGAGUGGCUGAAGGCGCCCGCCUGCUAAGUGGGUAUAGGGGUGAUACCUCUAUCGAGGGUUCGAAUCCCUCCCUCUCCG
RNAcentral lists this transfer RNA (90 nucleotides) under Paraconexibacter algicola. It matches the Rfam family "tRNA". From Rfam's summary of the family: Transfer RNA (tRNA) molecules are approximately 80 nucleotides in length. RNAcentral also lists the same sequence under 1 other name. The record is from Rfam by way of RNAcentral. Lineage: Bacteria; Bacillati; Actinomycetota; Thermoleophilia; Solirubrobacterales; Paraconexibacteraceae.